RNAcentral lists this ribosomal RNA (1307 nucleotides) under bacterium EBAD28. RNAcentral's name for it is "bacterial LSU rRNA". It matches the Rfam family "Bacterial large subunit ribosomal RNA", at positions 1179 to 2490 of the family's 2925-position model. The record is from RNAcentral.
GGCUACAUAUUACCGAAGCUGUGGAUUGUCCUUUGGACAAUGGUAGGAGAGCGUUCUAAGGGCGUCGAAGCAUGAUCGCAAGGACAUGUGGAGCGCUUAGAAGUGAGAAUGCCGGUGUGAGUAGCGAAAGACGGGUGAGAAUCCCGUCCACCGAUUGACUAAGGUUUCCAGAGGAAGGCUCGUCCGCUCUGGGUUAGUCGGGUCCUAAGCUGAGGCCGACAGGCGUAGGCGAUGGAUAACAGGUUGAUAUUCCUGUACCACCUAGUAUCGUUUUAAUCGAUGGGGGGACGCAGUAGGAUAGGCGAAGCGUGCUGUUGGAGUGCACGUCCAAGCAGUAAGGCUGAGUGUUAGGCAAAUCCGGCACUCAUAAGGCUGAGCUGUGAUGGGGAGAGGAAAUUGUUUCCUCGAGUCGUUGAUUUCACACUGCCGAGAAAAGCCUCUAGAUAGAUAACAGGUGCCCGUACCGCAAACCGACACAGGUAGUCAAGAUGAGAAUUCUAAGGUGAGCGAGCGAACUCUCGUUAAGGAACUCGGCAAAAUGACCCCGUAACUUCGGGAGAAGGGGUGCUCUUUAGGGUUCACGCCCAGAAGAGCCGCAGUGAAUAGGCCCAAGCGACUGUUUAUCAAAAACACAGGUCUCUGCUAAACCGUAAGGUGAUGUAUAGGGGCUGACGCCUGCCCGGUGCUGGAAGGUUAAGAGGAGUGGUUAGCUUCUGCGAAGCUACGAAUCGAAGCCCCAGUAAACGGCGGCCGUAACUAUAACGGUCCUAAGGUAGCGAAAUUCCUUGUCGGGUAAGUUCCGACCCGCACGAAAGGCGUAACGAUUUGGGCACUGUCUCAACGAGAGACUCGGUGAAAUCAUAGUACCUGUGAAGAUGCAGGUUACCCGCGACAGGACGGAAAGACCCCGUGGAGCUUUACUGUAGCCUGAUAUUGAAAUUCGGCACAGCUUGUACAGGAUAGGUAGGAGCCUUUGAAACGUGAGCGCUAGCUUACGUGGAGGCGUUGGUGGGAUACUACCCUAGCUGUGUUGGCUUUCUAACCCGCACCACUUAUCGUGGUGGGAGACAGUGUCAGGCGGGCAGUUUGACUGGGGCGGUCGCCUCCUAAAAGGUAACGGAGGCGCUCAAAGGUUCCCUCAGAAUGGUUGGAAAUCAUUCAUAGAGUGUAAAGGCAUAAGGGAGCUUGACUGCGAGACCUACAAGUCGAGCAGGGUCGAAAGACGGACUUAGUGAUCCGGUGGUUCCGCAUGGAAGGGCCAUCGCUCAACGGAUAAAAGCUACCCCGGGGAUAACAGGCUAUCUCCC